GACGAACGCUGGCGGCGUGCUUAACACAUGCAAGUCGAACGGAAAGGCCCUGCUUUUGUGGGGUGCUCGAGUGGCGAACGGGUGAGUAACACGUGAGUAACCUGCCCUUGACUUUGGGAUAACUUCAGGAAACGGGGGCUAAUACCGGAUAGGAGCUCCUGCUGCAUGGUGGGGGUUGGAAAGUUUCGGCGGUUGGGGAUGGACUCGCGGCUUAUCAGCUUGUUGGUGGGGUAGUGGCUCACCAAGGCUUUGACGGGUAGCCGGCCUGAGAGGGUGACCGGCCACAUUGGGACUGAGAUACGGCCCAGACUCCUACGGGAGGCAGCAGUGGGGAAUAUUGCACAAUGGGCGGAAGCCUGAUGCAGCAACGCCGCGUGCGGGAUGACGGCCUUCGGGUUGUAAACCGCUUUCGCCUGUGACGAAGCGUGAGUGACGGUAAUGGGUAAAGAAGCACCGGCUAACUACGUG
Molecule: ribosomal RNA, 468 nt
Filed under: uncultured bacterium
Lineage: Bacteria
Description: partial 16S ribosomal RNA
Rfam family: Bacterial small subunit ribosomal RNA
Source: RNAcentral